RNAcentral lists this ribosomal RNA (512 nucleotides) under Balanodytes sp. ACRO_sp_251. Its description in RNAcentral is "partial 16S ribosomal RNA". It matches the Rfam family "Bacterial large subunit ribosomal RNA", at positions 1907 to 2633 of the family's 2925-position model. Lineage: Eukaryota; Metazoa; Arthropoda; Thecostraca; Lithoglyptida; Lithoglyptidae. The record is from RNAcentral.
GCCCACUGAAUUACUUUUUAAAGGCCGCAGUAUUCUGACUGUGCUAAGGUAGCAUAAUAAUUUGUCUCUUAAUUAGAGACUAGUAUGAACGGUCCAACGAAGAAACAACUUUUUUUAGUUUAUGAAACGAAAUUUACUUUUUAGUUAAAAGGCUAAAAUUAUUCGAAAAGACGAGAAGACCCUAAAGAGUUUGAUAUAAAAAUUUUUUAAAAAAUUUAUUUAUUAUACCCUUUUGAUGAAUUAAUAUAUUUGAUUGGGGCGAUCAAGAAAUAUCUAAAACUUUUUAUUGACAAAACUUAUUAAAAGAUUUAAUGAUCCAGUUUUAGUGAUUACAAAAAAAAAUUACCUUAGGGAUAACAGCGUUAUACUUAUUAAGAGUUCCUAUUGACAUAAGUGUUUGCGACCUCGAUGUUGGACUAGAAAUAUAUUAUAAUGCAGCAGUUAUAAUGGUAGGUCUGUUCGACCUUUAAUAUUCUACACGAUCUGAGUUCAGACCGGCGUGAGCCAGGUUG